UACGAAGGGGGCUAGCGUUGCUCGGAAUCACUGGGCGUAAAGCGCACGUAGGCGGCUUUUUAAGUCAGGGGUGAAAUCCUGGAGCUCAACUCCAGAACUGCCUUUGAUACUGAGAAGCUUGAGUCCGGGAGAGGUGAGUGGAACUGCGAGUGUAGAGGUGAAAUUCGUAGAUAUUCGCAAGCACACCAGUGGCGAGGGCGGCUCACUGGCCCGGUACUGACGCUGAGGUGCGAAAGCGUGGGGAGCAAACAGG
RNAcentral lists this ribosomal RNA (253 nucleotides) under uncultured bacterium. RNAcentral's name for it is "partial 16S ribosomal RNA". It matches the Rfam family "Bacterial small subunit ribosomal RNA", at positions 524 to 776 of the family's 1533-position model. The record is from RNAcentral.